Molecule: unclassified non-coding RNA, 2153 nt
Filed under: Haliotis rufescens (red abalone)
Lineage: Eukaryota; Metazoa; Mollusca; Gastropoda; Lepetellida; Haliotidae
Description: perlucin-like, transcript variant X1
Source: RNAcentral
AACAUGAUGUUAUGAAAGCUGUUGAAGCCACGUACAUCCUCACUCGCACCUACUGCCUUGCUGCAAGUAUAACCUAUAAUAUAGCUGUGCCUCCCAAUAUUCAAGUCUGACGCUGCCAACCAGAAGCAUGAGACUCGAAGUCGUAUCAUUCCUGCUGCUCACAUUUGCAUCACUGGCUGCAGCACACGGCCGGUGUCCUCUGGGAUUCCUUCGUCACGGGGACUCCUGCUACUGGAUCUCAACCACAGUGGCGUCGUUCGCUGAGGCGAAGACAUACUGUCAGUAUAUGCAGAGUCACCUGGCGAGGAUAACCAGCAAAGUUGAGGAUGACUUUCUGAGGGGCCAUGUCAGACGUCGUGGCAAGGGUACUGAUUACUGGCUUGGUGCUACUGACAUGAACGUUGAAGGGAAGUGGCUGUGGGAGGGGAACAAGGCCAUGACGUACACCAACUGGGAUCGUAACAACCCUAAUAAUGACAAAGGAGUUGAAAACUGUCUGGGACUGAGAAAGGAGUUUAAUUACAAGUGGAAUGAUUAUCAGUGUCAUCACCGCUUAAACUUUAUCUGUGAGAAAAACCUUUAAAAUCAGAAUCAGUCUUUACAAAUAUCAGUAAAAUGUUGGGCAACACCUUCCUUUUCUGAAGAUAAAACAUAACCACAGUCUUUGAAUAAGGUAUCAUAAUGGUAUUAAAUAUUAAAUUCGAAUAACAGAUUCCUUGUGACAAUUGGAUAGGGAAAACACUGUGCAAAUAACAGCAACAAGAUCAUUUCAGCAUGUAGGUGAGGUGUGAGGUGUGAUGUGCUCAUGCAGCAUGUAGGUGAGGUGUGGUGUGCUCAUGCAGCAUGUAGGCAAGGUGUGGUGUGCUCAUGCAGCAUGUAGGUGAGGUGUGAUGUGCUCAUGCAGCAUGUAGGUGAGGUGUGGUGUGCUCAUGCAGCAUGUAGGUGAGGUGUGGUGUGCUAAUGCAGCAUGUAGGUGAGGUGUGGUGUGCUCAUGCAGCAUGUAGGCAAGGUGUGGUGUGCUCAUGCAGCAUGUAGGUGAGGUGUGAUGUGCUCAUGCAGCAUGUAGGUGAGGUGUGGUGUGCUCAUGCAGCAUGUAGGUGAGGUGUGGUGUGCUCAUGCAGCAUGUAGGCAAGGUGUGGUGUGCUCAUGCAGCAUGUAGGUGAGGUGUGAUGUGCUCAUGCAGCAUGUAGGUGAGGUGUGGUGUGCUCAUGCAGCAUGUAGGCAAGGUGUGGUGUGCUCAUGCAGCAUGUAGGUGAGGUGUGAUGUGCUCAUGCAGCAUGUAGGUGAGGUGUGGUGUGCUAAUGCAGCAUGUAGGUGAGGUGUGAUGUGCUCAUGCAGCAUGUAGGUGAGGUGUGGUGUGCUCAUGCAGCAUGUAGGUGAGGUGUGGUGUGCUCAUGCAGCAUGUAGGUGAGGUGUGGUGUGCUAAUGCAGCAUGUAGGUGAGGUGUGGUGUGCUCAUGCAGCAUGUAGGCAAGGUGUGGUGUGCUCAUGCAGCAUGUAGGUGAGGUGUGAUGUGCUCAUGCAGCAUGUAGGUGAGGUGUGGUGUGCUCAUGCAGCAUGUAGGUGAGGUGUGGUGUGCAAAUGCAGCAUGUAGGUGAGGUGUGGUGUGCUCAUGCAGCAUGUAGGCAAGGUGUGGUGUGCUCAUGCAGCAUGUAGGUGAGGUGUGAUGUGCUCAUGCAGCAUGUAGGUGAGGUGUGGUGUGCUCAUGCAGCAUGUAGGUGAGGUGUGGUGUGCUAAUGCAGCAUGUAGGUGAGGUGUGGUGUGCUCAUGCAGCAUGUAGGCAAGGUGUGGUGUGCUCAUGCAGCAUGUAGGUGAGGUGUGAUGUGCUCAUGCAGCAUGUAGGUGAGGUGUGGUGUGCUCAUGCAGCAUGUAGGCAAGGUGUGGUGUGCUCAUGCAGCAUGUAGGUGAGGUGUGAUGUGCUCAUGCAGCAUGUAGGCAAGGUGUGGUGUGCUCAUGCAGCAUGUAGGCAAGGUGUGAUGUGCUCAUGCAGUAUGUAGGUGUUAUCCCAAUCUGGAAACAUUUAUCAAACUGUACACAUACAUUUCUUUCAGUUUUUCAAAGAAUGUAAGGUGUUGCUAAACAUUUUUCUUCUGAGUAUUGUUAAACUGCAUAUGUACUUGCCUUCUAAAUAAGAAAUAGACGGCAUAUACAAGA